AGCAAUUGAAGUGAGAGAACACGAGUCUUACUAAAGCAAUGCUGUCGUAGAUUGUCCGUUACAGUUGUGGAUAUAGAAGAUCUUUGGUGUUAUCUGUAUGAUACGUCUCGAUAGCCAUCAUGACAGAAUUGUUUGCUGUUGUCAAAUUCACAGAAGAAAAUGAUGCAAUCGAUGUAGUUCCAACAAUGUGGAUAAUUAAUAACGAUACUGCAUCCUGGUAUCCAAAUGUCACUUCGGACGAAACCAAAAAUUCCCUUGUUAAAAGAUGUGCUCAGGUCGACACCAAAACAUGGACAGAAAAUCCUAUUAAAGUGUUGGGAAAAUACAAAACAUACCAUGAAGCAAUGGAAAAAGUUCACAUAGCUGAAGUUCAAUCGAAUCUUUCCGACGCUACUGUCGUUAUUCAGAAAAAAAGAAGCAGGAAACGAAAAAAUCUAAAGUUGCCGGGAGAAGAUUCCACCAGUGAAAGCGAUGCUGAAGGUAGCAGGAAAGGGACGAGGAAGCAUCAUAAAAAAUCUCAAAGCAAAUUGGCGGCUAAUGGGUCAGGGAAAUUGGUCUACAAAAAUUUCCCUGACCCACCAAGUAUUUCCCCGAAGAGGAGCAACGUACUCAACUUCAACAAUGAGGCCCGCAUCGAUGUAUCUGAUUCAUCCUCUUCAGCGCAUGAAAAUCUAGGAAGUGAUGACGAUGUAGUCCAUCCAGAAGUUCAACAGCAAGUACCUUCACAAACGGCGCCGCAAAAAGCAAAUAGCCAAGCAGAUGGAUCAACAUCAGCUGGAACACUGGAAGAUGUGCUAGCUAGAGUAUCAUACCUGCAAAUAUCUCUUGACGCAGUACUCGAAGCUACAAAAAAUUUCUCUAAUCAGCUCUCACUGAUGAAUGCAAAACUGGACGCGCUAAAUAAUAAUUCUGAAGAUCAGCAUAAAAUAAAGGUAGCGGUGAUUAAUUCGAUCCCUGCUAAAAGUACUGAUGAUCUUGAGCUUCUUAACAAAGCCAUUCAAGGCAGCCAAGCUGCGAAGCUUCAGUUGGAAACAACCUUGAAAGCUGUCGCAGAACAAAAAGUAUUGAAUACAGCUCAGAACAUGAUGCAUAAGAUAUUUACGGAUGAAUUGGGCAUGCAAUAUUGUCUUAAAGGAAAGAAUCCUAAUAAAAAGCAGUUCGACAUAGAUCCCAUUUACCACCUUAUUAUUGAGUGUAUAAAGACAGUUUUCCCUCCAACAGAGAAGGUAGUGACUGAAGCGAGAGAAGCUAUCAGUAAUUGGUUCACGCAAUCAAAACACCGCAUCGAUAAGAGAAAGAAACGUGCUGAAGAUAAAGUGAAAAAUGCGGCUCAAAAAGAAGCUGAAAGAGUCAAAAAAGCGGCUGAAGAGGAGGCCGAAAGAGUCAAGAAAGCAGCAGCAGAGGCAGCUGAAAAAGCCAAGAAAGCGGCUGAAGAGGAAGCCGAACGGGCCAAGAAAGCAGCAGAAGAGGCAGCUGAAAAAGCCAAGAAAGCUGCAGAAGAGGCAGCAGAAAACGCCAAGACAUAG
Molecule: long non-coding RNA, 1526 nt
Filed under: Bemisia tabaci
Lineage: Eukaryota; Metazoa; Arthropoda; Insecta; Hemiptera; Aleyrodidae
Description: lncRNA ENSSSA1NGG010484
Source: RNAcentral